RNAcentral lists this long non-coding RNA (1301 nucleotides) under Capra hircus (goat). RNAcentral describes it as "lncRNA (ENSCHIG00010003164.1)". Lineage: Eukaryota; Metazoa; Chordata; Mammalia; Artiodactyla; Bovidae. The record is from RNAcentral.
CCAUGUGAUUUCCAGGCCACAGACGGCCACUCUGGCGCCUGCAGCCUCUCAUCUGACAGCUGGCUGACCCACCAGGACUAGGCCUGAGUGGACACAGCUGUGGGCAGGCCCCGGGGCGGGAGGCUCUGAGCCACCGGCAGGAACUCCCCUGUCGGCCAAACUGAGGGCUCAGACCCACGGAAUGCAGCACCCCCGGGGGCUCAGCCCUGCCUUGGGCACACGCGCCUGCAGCAGCCCACCCGGCCCCUCUCAGAGGCCAUGUGUGGGAGAGACGUCCUUCCUGGAAACGCCGAGUGCUAACAAACCGCGGGCAGAGGUGCUGCGGGCACCCUGGGUGGCACUGUGCCAGGACUCAAGCCCUCAGAGGGGCCUGAGACAGGGCAGGAGGGGUCAGAGGUCGGCAGGCGAGCCUGCGGCCCAUGUUUUUCAGCACCGCCCUCGCCAGGGGGGGUCCCAGAUGCACAGACCGGGGGUGCGUGCCCCACUCUGCCACCCCACUGUGGCCGAGACAGCUCCAGGAGGGCCUCGGGGGGCUGACGGCUCCCAGGGCAGGCAGUGUGGGCAGCGUGCCGGUGAGCGCAGGCUUCUAAGACACAGCAUCCGGGGGCAGAGGUGCCAGCCCAGGGGAGAAGCCGAGGCUCCAGAGCCAAUCAGGGCCACAGAGGACCUUCUGGGCUGUGAAGCCUGGCCUCUCGAGGCCUCCUUUCUGUAUCUUCAGAAGCAGCCAUUUAUACCUACCAUCCAAAGCUGAUGUCUGUCUGAGCACACGAAUGUGGAGUUCCCGAGAGCCUGGCAGGCACACAGUGGGUCCGCACCGAAGGCCACCAGCGACAGCAGGCUCGUCACCGAGUUGGUCCGGCGGAGGAGGCCGGCCGCUCCCAGGCUCACACCUUGGGUGGGGUUCACCACGGCCGAGGAUGGUACCUGGAACAGCAGAGUAAGAGCCCGGUUNNNNNNNNNNNNNNNNNNNNNNNNNNNNNNGCCAGGCUGCCCCUCACACGGCCGCCGCCUCUGCCCCGAUCGCCCGGCGCUGACUGGGGGGUCGGCGUGGGUUCACACAGAGUCGAGAGCGGGGUGCGGAAGGAGACCAGAGAGCUCUGUCUCUGGGAGGGAGAGGCCCAGCUCUGGGGGCUGGGGUCUCAGCGUCUGGUCUCCGGGGGGCCGGGGUCUGGACGGGCUGGGGUCUCAGGGUCUCGUCUCCGGGGAGCCAAGGGGCCGGGGUCUCAGGGUCUGGCCUCCGGAGGUGCCGAGGCGGUGGGAGUGCCCAGGCCGCAGGGAGCGCCCGUCCUCCAGGAAGAGGC